GUUUGAUCAUGGCUCAGGAUGAACGCUAGGGGCAGGCCUUAACACAUAGUCGAGGGGUAGCAGGAUAAAGCUUGCUUUAUUGCUGACGACCGGCGCACGGGUGCGUAACGCGUAUGCGACCUACCUUAUACUGGGGUAUAGCCCGGAGAAAUUCGGAUUAAUCCCCCAUAGUAUUAUGAAUCGCAUGGUUUGAUAAUUAAAGGUUACGGUAUAAGAUGGGCAUGCGUCCCAUUAGCUAGAUGGUGAGGUAACGGCUCACCAUGGCGACGAUGGGUAGGGGGCCUGAGAGGGUGGUCAGCCACACUGGUACUGAGACACGGACAGACUCCUACGUUGAGGCAGCAGUGAGGAAUAUUGGUCAAUGCGCAAGCCUGAACCAGCCAUGCCGCGUGCAGGAAGACGGUCCUAUGG
This 411-nucleotide ribosomal RNA is filed under the name uncultured Fluviicola sp. RNAcentral's name for it is "bacterial SSU rRNA". It matches the Rfam family "Bacterial small subunit ribosomal RNA", at positions 11 to 422 of the family's 1533-position model. Lineage: Bacteria; Pseudomonadati; Bacteroidota; Flavobacteriia; Flavobacteriales; Crocinitomicaceae. The record is from RNAcentral.